GACGAACGCUGGCGGCGUGCUUAACACAUGCAAGUCGAACGGAAAGGCCCUGCUUUCGUGGGGUGCUCGAGUGGCGAACGGGUGAGUAACACGUGAGUAACCUGCCCUUGACUUUGGGAUAACUUCAGGAAACUGGGGCUAAUACCGGAUAGGAGCUCCUGCUGCAUGGUGGGGGUUGGAAAGUUUCGGCGGUUGGGGAUGGACUCGCGGCUUAUCAGCUUGUUGGUGGGGUAGUGGCUUACCAAGGCUUUGACGGGUAGCCGGCCUGAGAGGGUGACCGGCCACAUUGGCACUGCGAUACUGCCCAGACUCCUACGGGAGGCAGCAGUGGGGAAUAUUGCACAAUGGGCGGAAGCCUGAUGCAGCAGCGCCGCGUGCGGGAUGGCGGCCUUCGGGUUGUAAACCGCUUUCGCCUGUGACGAAGCGUGAGUGACGGUAAUGGGUAAAGAAGCACCGGCUAACUACGUG
RNAcentral lists this ribosomal RNA (468 nucleotides) under uncultured bacterium. RNAcentral's name for it is "partial 16S ribosomal RNA". It matches the Rfam family "Bacterial small subunit ribosomal RNA", at positions 28 to 507 of the family's 1533-position model. The record is from RNAcentral.